Molecule: long non-coding RNA, 2021 nt
Filed under: Salmo salar (Atlantic salmon)
Lineage: Eukaryota; Metazoa; Chordata; Actinopteri; Salmoniformes; Salmonidae
Description: lncRNA (ENSSSAG00000086599.1)
Source: RNAcentral
CCCAGACUCCCCAUCCCUAACCCCACCCCGGGUCCUCGCGCCUCCAUCUGGUCUCCCCACAGCUUGGACCUCCUCUGGAAGAGGUAGCGGGGCCUCCCGGGGCCUCCCACCAGGCUAGAUAUAGAGCCUGACCCUAGGCCUCCAGAACCCAGGCCCCCAUGCCCCAGGCCUCCAGACCCGAGGCCUCCAUGCCCCAGGCCUCCAGACCCGAGGCCUCCAUGCCCCAGGCCUCCAGACCCGAGGCCUCCAUGCCCCAGGCCUCCAGACCCUAGGCCUCCAUGCCCCAGCCCUGCCCCUCCGGCUGCUGCUGCGGCUAGAGCAGCCGCCUGCUGCUGGGAUAACAGCUCGCUGUCAGAGCUCUGCUUCAGCAGCGGGUCCCUGAAGGUGACCGGGCCUUUAUUGCCUCCAAUGUGAGACUUGAGCCGGGGCUUGGGAGGCACUGGCGGCUUGUCGAGCACGAAGGUCUGCCCGUCGGCAUAGGAGGUGUGUGUGUCAGCGGGUUCGCCACUCUCUGAGGACAGAGUGGACAUGCUGGAGACGGUGGACACAGUGCUAGUGGUCUCCAGGUGGUGGUCUCGCUCUCUCUCACUGGAGCUGCGUGUGUCUGCCUCCUCCACACCAGAGUCUGCUGCUGAACCAGACUCAGCCAGCAGGGCUGGAGGAUGGGGCUGGUCCGGGUAUGAGGGUUUCCCUGAGACGACUGCUCCUCCAGGGGUAGGCUGGAGGGGAGGGCCCUGGGGUUGGGUGGGUGUCAGGCUAGAGGUGGGGGUCAGGCUGGGGUUUGGGGUCGAAGGGGUGAGGAGAGUAGGGGUUGUAGGGGAAGUGGUGGAUUUAGACUGGGGUACAGGGGUCCCCUGGGCUUGGGCUUGUGAAUUGGCCAACAACCCGUUGGAAAACUCAUCCGGAGGUGGGAGCACCCCAAUCUUCUUCAGCUCCUCUCUGGUCUCUUCAUCACUGGAGGACAGCAUGGCUGGAGGUAGGCUCACUGUGUAGGGCUCCACGUCUUCCUCUGAACUGCCCUGGGCCAGGGGAGCCUGGGCUGGGCUGGAAGGGCCCUGGGCCUGGAGCUGAGAGGCAGAGGGGCUGGGUGACAGAGCCCGACUGAGGGAGGGUUUAAUGGGCUCGGUGGCUGGGGAGGUGGGGGUUUUCUCCAGCCCUGGUCCCAGCCCCACCGCCUGGCCGUUACUGGUGGCAUGGACCAUGAUUAGUCCAGCUGUCUUCUGUUGUGAUGUGUCCAUGAUACUGAUCAACAUACUCUUCUUAUCCUCCGUUCUCCUCACCUCCUUCCUCUCCUCCCCUCUUCCCUCCAUCUCCUGGCGAAGCAAGGCAGGUGAUGACACUCCCCACUGGGAUUUACCAGCCUGGGGCGACCCCGGCCUCCCGCCCCCAUGCUGAGGCUCUUUGGUCUGGCUUUCGAUGAAAAGCGAAGCCCCCUGACCUCCAACACCAGCCCUGUCCUGUUUAGUCCUGGGCUCAGGGCUGCUGGCGGGGGACUGGCUCUGGGAGGUAAGUGCCCGCUCCCUUGCGGCCAGCGCAAGAGCAAGGGGUGAGUUAGGGUCCAGGGGCUUCCCUGUGAGUGGGUGGAUGAAGGUAGUGCCGCCAGGUGAGGGGCGCAGGGCCAGAGCGGGGGGUGGCAGCUGGCCUAGUUCUCUGCUGAGUAGGCGCUCAUCGAUGGAUCGAGAUGUGGUGUAGGAGGGGGGCUCAGGGGCGGACCCCGACCCCCCCUCCAUGGUCCCCACUGACUGGAAGACUGUGGAUUUCCUCCGCUCCUCUAGUCGGCGCUCUCGGUCCUUCACGGCGCCAGCGAUAGCAACAGCGAACGGCCCUUUCCCCUGCAGCAAGGCCUCUCCCUGGAGACGCAUACGCUCGCGCUCCACCAUCAGCUGCUGCUGGUAGUAGUCGGCCCGGCUGGUGUGUGUGUGGCCGUGGGUGUGUGUGUGUCGACCAGAGGGGGAGGUCUCUCGGGAGUGGGCAGCGGCCAAGGCGAUGCUGGCUCUCUCCUGUGCGUCCUCCACCUGGAG